This 404-nucleotide ribosomal RNA is filed under the name Actinomycetes bacterium. Its description in RNAcentral is "Actinobacteria bacterium partial 16S ribosomal RNA". It matches the Rfam family "Bacterial small subunit ribosomal RNA", at positions 355 to 776 of the family's 1533-position model. The record is from RNAcentral. Lineage: Bacteria; Bacillati; Actinomycetota; Actinomycetes.
UGGGGAAUAUUGGACAAUGGGCGCAAGCCUGAUCCAGCCAUGCCGCGUGAGUGAUGAAGGCCCUAGGGUUGUAAAGCUCUUUCACCGGUGAAGAUAAUGACGGUAACCGGAGAAGAAGCCCCGGCUAACUUCGUGCCAGCAGCCGCGGUAAUACGAAGGGGGCUAGCGUUGUUCGGAUUUACUGGGCGUAAAGCGCACGUAGGCGGACUAUUAAGUCAGGGGUGAAAUCCCGGGGCUCAACCCCGGAACUGCCUUUGAUACUGGUAGUCUUGAGUUCGAGAGAGGUGGGUGGAAUUCCGAGUGUAGAGGUGAAAUUCGUAGAUAUUCGGAGGAACACCAGUGGCGAAGGCGGCUCACUGGCUCGAUACUGACGCUGAGGUGCGAAAGCGUGGGGGGCAAACAGG